Oncorhynchus mykiss (rainbow trout) is the source of this 474-nucleotide non-coding RNA. Lineage: Eukaryota; Metazoa; Chordata; Actinopteri; Salmoniformes; Salmonidae. The record is from RefSeq and is a predicted model, not a curated record.
GUAAAGACAGGUCUCAUGACUAUUCAUUCCUUGAGUAACAGGAACGAUUUACCAGAGGUGUAUGUAUUCAUUACGGAAACCGUUUGCCGUUUAAGAACCAACAGAAGCUAAACAAUAGUUUCUGUUGGACAAAUUCAGCCAAGGUCGAUAAGGCCUACCCUGAGAGAAUUCAAAGCUGGAACUGCGUCGCAAAGGCCCUGAUGGAUGUGUUGGGGAACAACACAAUACACAUCAACAUCAUGGAAAUCAACAAGUGUAUUUGUGUUCAUUCCAUUUACCAAGCACUGCCAAUUGAAUAGACUAGACAAUAGCACAAUACAAUCAACUGUAUUGUGUACCUGCUGUUUUUCAGUUGUCAUGAUGAUGCAGACAAGAGUCUACUUGUUUUGACUAGCUAGUAACAUUAGCAUUUCAUUACACCCGUUAUAACAUCUGCUAAACUGUGUACUAGACCAAUACACGUCGAUUUAAAUA